This 3096-nucleotide long non-coding RNA is filed under the name Homo sapiens (human). Its description in RNAcentral is "HSALNT0011275". Lineage: Eukaryota; Metazoa; Chordata; Mammalia; Primates; Hominidae. The record is from RNAcentral.
GCAACAUAUCUUAAACUGAAGGACACUUUUUCAAUUUCACAGGGGCUGCACACCCAAAUAAAUGCCUCUUGGCUACCCAUUCAUCUAACAGCUGGAAAGAUGACACUUGACAUUUGGAAACUUUCCUGUGAAGAUUGCUGCAAGGCUUUCCCAUUAGCUUCCUGGUGAGACUGUAAGGUCGAAUAAGCUGCCUCAAAACCUGCAAAGGGUAACGGAAAUACUCUAAUAUUAAGCCUGUGCAAUUUAAAUUUCUAAUUCUCGAAUCAUAGUUCUUCAGAUAUUGUAGAAAUCACUGGUAUAUUUCAGGGCAAAAGAAUGCCUUUGAAGAUGUGAAAUUAAAGUGAUAUUUUAAGCAAUGAUAAUGAUAACAAGUGUCUUUUAUUUAAAGUUGGGACUGAAGGUCUUCUAAGUAACAGGGACUUCAACACAGAGAAGUUCUUGUAAGUUUGUUUUCUAAAAUCCCUGACUGUCAUAUUUUCAACAACUGUUCAUCUUUGUCCAGAGCAGAAAUCUUUAACACGAGGCAGAGUUAUUACCAUUCUUCACUUUUUUUCCCACAUCAUAAGCAUUAUUGAAGGUAGCUUUAAAAUUCUUACAACCCAGCAUUGUGGAUUCAUUUCAAAAAUUACUGCCCCCAACAUAAAAUAAAAUAGUAAAUAUGCCAUUAUUAAAAUGCUGUCAUCUUAUAAAAUUUUCAGGUAUAAACAAGCCUUUUUUCCUCUUCAGAAAGAUAAUUCCUUUAAAAUGUCCCCAAAUCAGAAAUUGUUAAUAAAAUGACAGUUUAUUAAAGAUAGCAGAAAGACAAAAUUCCUCACAUAAUCUCAACCCAAAAAAGAAUGUAAAAAAUUUCAUUUAUUGAUAUGAAUGCACACAAUUCAAUUAGAUUUUAUCACAAUGAUCUUUUUCCAUGAUACUCAAUUUGGAAUUCCAUAUUUUUAAUUGUCUUUAUAAUUGUCUGUUCUUGUUUGUUAACUAAGUAUUUUUCAAGUGAAAGAUUAACAAGAAUGAAAAGGCUUCCCUAAAUGUUCAGUCAUAUGUCCAAAUUAGAUGAAAUUAAUGUCAUGAUUAAAAAGGAAACUGAAACCUUUAAAAAAUAUACGUUGAGGGCAUUGAAGAAAUGGAAGACAUGAAUGAUGUAACUUUCAAUCUUGAAUUCAUCAUCAUCUGAGACUAAAAUCACUUUUUAAAAGUUCAGGACCAGCCUGACCAACAAAACUAACUGGGCGUGGUGGCAUAUGCCUGUAAUCCCAGCUACUUGGGAGGCUGAGGCCAGAGAAUCGCUUGAACCCGGGAGGCGGAGGUUGCAGUGAGCCAAGAUCGUGCCAUUGCACUCCAGCCUGGGCAACAAUAGUGAAACUCUGUCUCAAAAAAAAAAAAAAAAGUCAAUUUAGUGAUGCUGAAUUGUACCUCAUUAGCAAUGGAUGUGCACCUCUUGGCCCCAAAUCACGGCAUAAACCUAGUUUUCUCAUGCCAUUCCAUUAACGAAUCCACCAAAAGGAAGCUCAGCUCACAGAAAGAAGAUGGAAUAUCUAGCAAUGACUGGACUUCUCAUUUCUCUUCAAACCAAAACCACAGCUACCAUUUGUACUCACUCUACUGCAGGUCUAUGGCAUGAAUUUGUCUCCACUAGGUCUUGAAAUCACACAUUCAUUUCACAUAGCCUAUUGAACUGCCAUCAGAUGGUAAUGACUUUCUGUCACUCUUGACCUGGGGCAGAUUUGAACUAGUGACCAAGAGGUUAAAGGCUCUGUAUCUCAUUACCAAUCCCCUGAGAUACUUAGUUCCCUCAACCACUAGUGAUUUUUUUUGUGCCUCAGUCAAGCCAGAAGAAAAUACACACAGAAAAAAUCUAAGCAGUAGAAAAGUAGGUCACCAAUGCAAGACAUCUAUGAUAGUUCUCAUGAACCUAAUAAACACCUAUUUCAAAAUAUACCCAUAUACUACAUGUACCUGAGUAGAAUCACAGUAACUGUUAAAGAACUUCAUUGUAACUUUCAAUAGUAUUUCACAUAAGCUACCAUUAAGCUGAAAAACACUGCAGAGAAACUGAAGAUACUUGUGCUUCAUGAGCUUACAGGGUUAAGGAAUGUAUUUUAGAUUCAGUAUCAUUCCAGAAUAUUUGUGUGUGUGUCUUGUGUAUCUAUUCUAAAAUAAUUCUGCCUCACAAGUUAGUUUCAGAGGGGGGUUGACAAAUUGGAAGAAAUAAUAUAGAUUCAUAAAUGAAAUAAUCAAAACAUUAUCAAACACCUUAACGUGGACACUUACUAUAGGAAUACAGCAUAUUUUAAUAAGGAUAAAGUUUGCUGAAGAAAACAGAAGAAUAGUAUUUAGGAACAUAUAUUUAGGCAAACAUAUAUAUAUACAGUAGUAGAAAUAUUGAACCUAAGCCAACAAUGAAAAAAUUAACUUUUUGUUGUUGUUUUUAUUGUUGUUGAAGGUUGACUUCAAAUGCUGGCUGCUAAUAAACAAUAUUCUAUAACUAUUCAACGGCAAUUAUUCUGUACAUAACUAAGUAGGCAGUGACUCCUGAAGUCACUUAGAAAUAUGUACUCAAAUUUUUUUUAAAUUUAAUGCCCUGACGCCUCCUUCCUUACACUUUGCAUUUUCCCCUAAAUGUUUGAUUUUCAUGGAAUGAAUCCCACUUGGAAGAAAAUAGAUCUUUUCCUUUUCAUUUCUUGCCUAUAUUUAAAAUGGUGCUCUAUACAAAUUAUUUUAUUUGAAUUUCUACCUCUACCUGUUGAUUCCAUAUUUAUCCUUCUAUUAAUAACUCUUAUUUUUUGUCUCUCAAUAUAUAUAUAUUUCUACCACAACUGCUUUUGUAGCAGCAACAUGUACAUUUAGUUGUUCCCUUCCACUACUGGUAAUAAAUACUGUGGCUUUUUAAACGUUGCAUCUAAAAUAUAGAGAAUUGAAAACAAUUCUUAAUAAAAGAAUAAUGACACGGCAAAAAUAACUCUAAUGAUGUAACAAACCAGUUAGUUUUGUGAUUAUAAUUUCUAUAAAGAUCAACAUUAUUUGACAAAAUGUUCCAUGUUUAUAAGAGCUCCUUCUCAGGACUACCAUGACUACUGAAGGGACAAUGAGCUUCUGAUCUGG